Molecule: long non-coding RNA, 2115 nt
Organism: Ficedula albicollis (Collared flycatcher)
Lineage: Eukaryota; Metazoa; Chordata; Aves; Passeriformes; Muscicapidae
Source: Ensembl
GGGGGGGGGGGGGGGGGGGGGGGGGGGGGGGGGGGGGGGGGCUGCGGCCUCAGAUCCCGCCGAACGCGCUGCGGGCGCGCUGUGCCCCAGCGUGUGCGAGCGGCUACACCGCGACAACCGCCAAAUGAUUUGUUCUCAGAGCAUUGGUCUCUGCGAGCCAAUCCUGAAUUACGUUAGAAGUUUUGUUGAGGAAUUGUCGUUCAUCUGCGACAUCCUCCAUCCAAAAUGGCUUCGGCAUUCCCGAAAAAGACAUCCCCGAAAAAGACAUCGAUACCUCGUCUUUUGUCCAGGGAAAAACUGAAGUCUGUGUCUCUUCUUCCUUCUAAGUUGCUAAGGGAGAAGUUUCACAAUGUGAAGAAGGCCAGCACUGGGACGAGUUUUCUGCCCAGAAUUGGCCCAUUUCCACACACGAGUGAGACUGGUCAAAAGCUGUCACCAGUUCCCCAGAAAAAGAGCUUGUUCCAGGUUUCCCCACCAGAGAUCGUAUUUCAGAACUUCGACGUUAAUGAGGUCUCUGAAAUGCAACUGUUUUUCAUAAAUAAGGACAAGGUAAGUGCUGGGAUGUGGAGCUUUAAGGCUGUGCAGAAAGAGGAGAGUGGUGUAAUUCCCAUAAUGUACAGCAAAGCAAUUUAUCUGCUGCAGGACAUCCAGAAGAAAAUGUCUCAGCACCUUUGCUCUGCAAGAUGGUGGAAAUCUUCCCGUGCUGGGAAUUCUCCCCUGAUUUUGGCCAUGCAUUGAUGGCAUCUAUCCCAAAUGAAUUAAAUGAGUUUCCUUCUCUUGAAAGCUCUGGAUUGAUAGGAAUGUUGAGGGCUGUACAGUUCUUACCUGCUCUCAUGCUUUGCCUUGGGUGUAUACCACAUCUUGGCUAAUCUUGGUUCCUAGUAGGAAUCUCUGCCUCUCUCAGCCUGUUUGGCUCCCUUUGUGCAGCUCACAGUCAAAGCUCAGAGGCUGAGUCUUCUCCACUUUAUGCUGGAAUCACUUAUCAUUAAUAGCAUUGGCUCUGCAGGAAAAGUGUUGUCAAGCAGCUCUGGAAUCAGAUUGAUGUAGCAGAAGCAGCAGGAGGUCUUUAGGUGCCACUUCAGGCUCUUGCUAAGCUUCAUACAUCUCUGCUUAAGUUUUCCAAAAGCAACAUGGUGCUCUGCUUUCCCUUUGGAGAACCACAACACAUCCCAAGCCAUGUGCUCCUGGAGGUUUUCACCUUCACUUGAAAGAAAUUGUGAUUGCUUUGCUGUUUCCCAAGAGAGUUGAGAGGGAAAAGUUGAAAAAUGUCAGCAGUUGUGUUCCACUGCAAGGAGGAAAACAGACCAUUUGAGUUUCAGUCAGGGAAACAUUUUCUCAAAUGAGCCUUGUGCCAAGAGUGGGCUGGUGGGAAGAGACAGGAGGGUCUCAAAAUCAUCUGGUUUAGACUUUUUGAGAGCAUUUUGGUGCUCAGGGUUGAUAUCUAUGUGCUAGAAAAUGCAUGUGUGCUGUGUCUGUGUAUUCCAAAGGGCAGAACAUGUCAGGAAUGCCCAGCAGCCCAGCUUGCCUGUACAAGCAGCAAGAACCCUCAGAGAGCCAAGAUUGGCUUUUAAUACUGGAACCACACUGUGAGUCAGUGCUGGUCAUGUUUCUCCAGGCAGAAAGUGCCUUUGAAGCCCAUGGUUGAUAGGCACAGCCUGUCUGUGUUUCUGUCACCUUUGGCAAGCUGAUUGCUUUCAUUGUUUUAUGAUUCUCCCUUGCUGCUUUACUGCCCACUUAAAUUCUCUUUGCCAUCUCCUUGUUUUAGGGAUUGUCUUGCUGUGUUCCUUCUUUUGCUUUUCAGGUUUGCUUUUAUUCCCAGUAAGGUCACAAUGUUUGGUCUCCUUUCUUGCUGGUCUGCCUGCAUGACUGUAUUCCCAGAACUGCCCUACCCAAACCUGAUCUGCUAGAAGGGAAUUUCUUCCUUCCUCUAGGAUAAUGUGCUGUUUUGCUUUCAGGUAGCACCUUCCCCCUCUGGAACACAACUGCAUGGCUGUGUGCAGGCAGAAGCCAGCAGGUCUUUUGGCCUUGUUGAAUAUGCAGAUGGCUUGGUUCAGGUGCUCUGUCUCCAUCCUGCUGGUGCUGACCUGCUCGGCCCUUCCUUCCCACCAGGCAUUG